Octopus sinensis (East Asian common octopus) is the source of this 202-nucleotide small nuclear RNA. RefSeq annotates it as U2 spliceosomal RNA. The transcript has a single exon. NCBI's taxonomy places the organism in Eukaryota, Metazoa, Mollusca, Cephalopoda, Octopoda, Octopodidae. The record is from RefSeq and is a predicted model, not a curated record.
AUUUUUCCAUGCUAGCAUGGGUUAGAUGAAUAUAUUAUUGCAGCAUUGUCUUAUAGCCAAAUACCCUUACUGAUGUGGUCCCUAUUUGGAACCAUUGAUAUUAAACUGAUUUUUAGAACAUGGUGAAGAGGUAGGGGCUUGCUCCGCCUUUGUCACGGGUUGGCCUCGUAUAGCAGUACUUCCAGGAUUCAGCCCAUCUCCC